CGGCCCUCCGCCCGCGCUCCCUUUCGCGUCUUCGCGCGCCGCUCCCGGGGGAUGGCGGGUGGCGGCGGGAACGAAGGCCGGGCUGACUCCGCGAAGGGAAACUGCAGGCGGUGGCCUUUUCUACGAGCCCGAGUAGGGCCUGGACCCGUGCCUUCUGUGCCAGAGAUGAGGCGUGUUUGAGCAAACUUCUUAUUGACGAGAGGGUUGGCAAACGAGGAGGAGGCAUUGGGCACAUAUUACUAACUGGAGAUCGAGCCCACAACACAGGCAUGUGCCCUGACCCAGGAAUCUGAACUAUGACCUCCUGGUUACCACUGACCCACACCAGCUGGGCAAAAAGAUAAGUAUUUUUGACGGUCUCAAAUAUAUCUGAGAAGGUAAAAUUGUCUAAAAGACAGUUUCUCAAACUGAUUUAAUUUAUUAAGAAGAAUAGUUAACCAUUUGUUGAAUACUUCUGGAUUAUUAAGGUGCUUUGAAUGUGUUCCCAAUUCCCAAAGCAACCCCAUGAGGUGUGGCUGCUAUAGUUUCCCAUUUGGAGAUGAGAGAACUAAUUCAGUAACUUGCACAAGAAAGCAGCCACUAUGUAGCUGCUUGAC
Molecule: long non-coding RNA, 596 nt
Organism: Myotis lucifugus (little brown bat)
Lineage: Eukaryota; Metazoa; Chordata; Mammalia; Chiroptera; Vespertilionidae
Exons: 3
Source: RefSeq, a predicted model, not a curated record